GACGAACGCUGGCGGCGUGCUUAACACAUGCGAGUCGAACGGAAAGGCCCUGCUUUUGUGGGGUGCUCGAGUGGCGAACGGGUGAGUAACACGUGAGUAACCUGCCCUUGACUUUGGGAUAACUUCAGGAAACUGGGGCUAAUACCGGAUAGGAGCUCCUGCUGCAUGGUGGGGGUUGGAAAGUUUCGGCGGUUGGGGAUGGACUCGCGGCUUAUCAGCUUGUUGGUGGGGUAGUGGCUUACCAAGGCUUUGACGGGUAGCCGGCCUGAGAGGGUGACCGGCCACAUUGGGACUGAGAUACGGCCCAGACUCCUACGGGAGGCAGCAGUGGGGAAUAUUGCAUAAUGGGCGGAAGCCUGAUGCAGCAACGCCGCGUGCGGGAUGACGGCCUUCGGGUUGUAAACCGCUUUCGCCUGUGACGAAGCGUGAGUGACGGUAAUGGGUAAAGAAGCACCGGCUAACUACGUG
Molecule: ribosomal RNA, 468 nt
Filed under: uncultured bacterium
Lineage: Bacteria
Description: partial 16S ribosomal RNA
Rfam family: Bacterial small subunit ribosomal RNA
Source: RNAcentral